UACGUAGGGAGCAAGCGUUGUCCGGAAUCAUUGGGCGUAAAGCGCGCGUAGGUGGCUUCGUAAGUCCGUUGUGAAAGUCAAAGGCUCAACCUUUGAAAGCCGAUGGAUACUGCGGAGCUAGAGUACGGAAGAGGCGAGUGGAACUCCUGGUGUAGCGGUGGAAUGCGCAGAUAUCAGGAGGAACACCAAUAGCGAAGGCAGCUCGCUGGGACGUUACUGACACUGAGGCGCGAAAGCGUGGGGAGCGAACAGG
This 253-nucleotide ribosomal RNA is filed under the name uncultured bacterium. Its description in RNAcentral is "partial 16S ribosomal RNA". It matches the Rfam family "Bacterial small subunit ribosomal RNA", at positions 524 to 776 of the family's 1533-position model. The record is from RNAcentral.